AAGAUCCUGCUGGUUGUCCUCAGACACUGGACCUCAGCAGAUUUCAGACAGAUUUCCACCUUUACAACCGGCUUUUAUCCUGAGCUUGUUCUUAAUCAUCUCCCCUUGUAUUCUGUAUUCUGUCAGCGCCUCUCUGGUCCGUCUCCCUUUUGCCCCUCUGCCUUUUGGUGUCCUAGAGAGAAUGGUUGUUCUAAUAAGGACUGUGUUUCUGUACUAUCCCUUUCAUCCUGGGCCUAUUUCCCUCACCUCCCUCCAGCACAUGUGAUGCAGCAAAUUAACAGCCCCGCACUGCCUGGCUUGGCUUGGGAAGAAAAGAAAAGAAAAAAAAAACACCCCACCUAAUUCAAACACCCAAUUAAAUGAGAGCUGUCUCACUAAAAACAUGGGAGAGGGGGAAAGCUAGUGACUGAAUAACCUCACUCUGUUCUCCAUAUAAUGUGUUCUGGCAGAAGAGCCGCAAUAGCUCCUCUGGGAGAACCCAGAGGGAUAGGAAAAGCCCUCCAAAUGAGAAAAGAUGCAUCUGAUUUGUGGAUGGAAGUCUGUCCCUCCGGUUUGUAAUGCAGAUGAGAGCAAAAAAAAAGGAGGAUGUGCAGCGUUAUCAUGUAAUUUCCUUCCUUUUUUUUCAAAUUAAACUGGGUGUAGCUUGCACUCGGUUAUAUUUAUUCAUAAUAUUGGUGUGCAGGUUUGAGCUGUGUUUUGAUUCUAUAAAUUUUCUUUGCUGUAACUCCAUUAAUGCUGCUGUAGGUUAUUGGGAAUCUAAAGCUCUCUGAUUAUGUGAUUCAGAGGUCUCAGAUCCACAUGGUGUACGGUACACUCACGGUUUUCACGUGAUCAUUGGAAACUGUGUCUCCUCAGCCAGCCCUGUGCACAAACUGUCUUUCUCUCACUCCUGACUCUCUGUCUUCCCUCUCCUCCUCUCACUGCUCCUUCCUCUGGCUUGCAUGGAAACUCCAACCAUCUCUGUAUGCUCCUUAACUAAAGACAGGUUCAGAUUUUUGAAUUGAAGAUUUAGUCGAAUACUUAACAUGCACAAUAUAUACAUUUGAUGUAAUGUAAUUUGAUGUACAAACAAAAAAUGAAUGCAAAAUACACAAAAGAUGUCAAAAAGAAAUCAUAAGCAGUGGUAGAGAGAGUAUUCAGAUUAGGGUCGUAAGGAUACUAAAAUCUUCAACUCGAUACCGAUACUCAGGAAAAUAUUCGAUACAAGCUUCAGGUCUGAGGUAGUGCAAAAUCUAGAUAAAUACAUCAAACAAUAACAAUUAGAACAAUAUUUUGAGGUUGUAUGCUGUGCACAAUAUUAGGCAAGCUUGAUAAAAAAAUAACAAUAACUUAACUUAAUUGUUCAUUCCUUGGCUAGGUAUCGAUACUUUUGAAAAUGAGUAUCGUAUCCGGAUACAAUGUUUUAGUAUUGAUAAUUUUUUGAGUAUUGAUACUUUUGACAACCCUAAUUCAGAUCCAUUACUUAAGUCAAAGUACUCAUACCUAACAGUAGAAGCUCUGCAUUAAAAAUGUAUAAUAAGGAAAGUGUACUAUUAGUAAUCAAAGUAUAUCCCCUGUGACUGCUAUAAUACGUUAUAUGAUUACAAUCAUUUUACUCAUGAAAUAAUGGAAAAGUAAGAUUUCACUGUUGGAUUUCACAGUUGGUUCAGGUGGAGCUCGUUUUGAACUAUGAACUAUGAACUAAUUAUUAUUAUUAUCAUUAUGGCUUCAUCUAUUUAAUAUUUUCAAUUGUUUGGUUUGUAAAAAGUAGUUUAAAUUGUGUAACAAAGUGACACCUUCACAAUGUUUUUUUCUUUGUUUGUUCGUUUUGUCUAACCAACCGUCCAAUCCUCAGUAUUAUUACUAAUACAUUACAGUUAUUAACAGAAUAUUGAAAGAAAAAACAGCAAAUCUUCACAUUUGUGAAGCUGCAACAAUGAUUGGGGUUUUUUUUAUACCAAAAUAGUUUCCAUUUAUUUUCUUGUCAGUCAGUUGUAUUGUAUUUAUUGUUAGGUAGUUUAAUUGGUAACAAAGUAUCAUUUUUUAUAAGCUCUUUGUUAGUUUUGUUUGCAAAAUUCAUAAUUUGUAAAGUAACCAAAGCGGUUAGAUACAUGUUAUAGUACAAUAUCUGCAAAUACAUAGAAAACUGCACAAAAAUACAAGAUAAAAUAGAACAAAAGCUGACAUUAAAUCAACAGAGAAAGUAAUUAAAAAGGAAAUAUAUAUCAGAGGUAUUAUGUAGAAGUAAAUAUUGUUAGAAUAAAUGUCUAUAAAUAUGA
Molecule: long non-coding RNA, 2258 nt
Organism: Centropristis striata (black sea bass)
Lineage: Eukaryota; Metazoa; Chordata; Actinopteri; Perciformes; Serranidae
Exons: 2
Source: RefSeq, a predicted model, not a curated record